This 75-nucleotide transfer RNA is filed under the name Polaromonas sp. P1-6. RNAcentral's name for it is "tRNA-Val". It matches the Rfam family "tRNA". Rfam says of the family: Transfer RNA (tRNA) molecules are approximately 80 nucleotides in length. The record is from RNAcentral. Lineage: Bacteria; Pseudomonadati; Pseudomonadota; Betaproteobacteria; Burkholderiales; Comamonadaceae.
AGCUCCUUUGCUCAGCGGAAGAGCUGCGCCUUUACACGGCGACGGCGGGGAGUUCGAUCCUCUCAGGGGCUACCA